AAAUUUCUCCUCUUAGCGGACGGGCCGUUCGUUUUGGACUUCAUAUUUUGGGAUCUUUUUCGUUCCUUUCAUGAUUUCUCUCUCUCUAAGAUUUAGAGAGGAAGAGAAUUUCUCUGAAGUUUGUUCCUCUAAAAUGUUGAACCCACUCACGCCUCUCCCUCGCAAACCAACAACUCCCGUCACUCAUGGCUUUGCUGGCCUUCCAUCAAUCUAAAGCCCAUCUCUGCUCCAUCCAUGCCCCAUUAUCACACUCCCACAUGCUAUCUGGCAUCUGCAUAGAAUUGCACCAGUGAUCCAUUCCUUAACUCAAGAUUAACUACACAUGGGAAGCUAUUUGGAUUGGGCUGAAAGGAACGAAAACUGUUUCGUCUAAGGUCAGGCGCAUAUGAAGUUUGUGGAUUGUGUUGGGCUGAUAUUUUUACUGGUUCCAUUUCCAUAUUCGUUUAUUCAUUUGCCAUUUCAUGUAAAAUUAUUUUAUGAAACAUUGAUAUAUUGUAUAAUUUUCCCCAAGGUUAGGCGCAUAUGAAGUUU
This 531-nucleotide long non-coding RNA is filed under the name Manihot esculenta (cassava). RNAcentral's name for it is "long non-coding RNA (MESC_LNC010607)". The record is from RNAcentral. Lineage: Eukaryota; Viridiplantae; Streptophyta; Magnoliopsida; Malpighiales; Euphorbiaceae.